UAUAAAGGAGAACAUACUCUCUUCUCAUACUGCCACCUCAGCACUGCCUUUUCCUUUUGCCUCCACGUGUCUUCUUCUUUUUAUAAACUACACCUCUUUUUUUCAAGCAGAUAACGUUCUGGGCUUACUCUGUUAUCUUCAUCACACCUGUGAAAUUGUUCCAUCUGAAAGCCCAAACAAUUGAAUCACCUCUUUUCUCCUAUUCUGAAUUGUUUCGAUUUCCUCGACGAACACCCUUCCUGCCGGGAAGUAAUAACCACCCUGGCGAUGACAUGCCUGGAGCUGUUGCAGUCAACUAAGCCAUCUGAUAUGAUUCUAUGUGAUGCAUCUGAGAAAAAAUCUACGAGUGAUAGUGGUGGGAUUGUUGAAGUUAGUGAUGCUGCUCCAGCUCAACCAACUGAUACUACUGUUUUGGUCGACUCCUCAACUCAGAAGGAUCCACCCACGGAGGAUGUGCGUGAAGGGAAGAAGAAGCCACGCAUUGCAUAGCUUCAGAGCUAAGGAGGACCUGAGCUUAAAGUCGAUUACAUCACGUUUAUCGUUUUUCUUUCUUUUCUCUGUUUCGGUCUUUUAAUUCUCAGAGAUUUUUCUCACAUGAAACUUUCUUUGAUGUUUUAAUUUAUCUUUGGUUUUAGUUUUCCUUCCGACUUGGAAACAAGUUCCUCUAUUGUUUAUAAAUGAAAUUACUUCAAGUA
Long non-coding RNA from Brassica napus (rape), 695 nucleotides. RefSeq lists it as uncharacterized. The transcript is spliced from 2 exons. The record is from RefSeq and is a predicted model, not a curated record. NCBI's taxonomy places the organism in Eukaryota, Viridiplantae, Streptophyta, Magnoliopsida, Brassicales, Brassicaceae.